AGCAGCCGCGGUAAUUCCAGCUCCAAUAGCGUAUAUUAAAGUUGUUGCAGUUAAAAAGCUCGUAGUUGAAUUUCGGGGUUAGUAGGUUGGUCAUGCCUCUGGUAUGUACUGGUCUUACUGAUUCCUCCUUCCUGAUGAACCGUAAUGCCAUUAAUUUGGUGUUGCGGGGAAUUUGGACUGUUACUUUGAAAAAAUUAGAGUGUUUAAAGCAAGCUAACGCUUGAAUACAUUAGCAUGGAAUAAUGAAAUAGGACGUUCGAUCCUAUUUUGUUGGUUUCUAAGAUUGACGUAAUGAUUAAUAGGGAUAGUUGGGGGCAUUAGUAUUCAAUUGUCAGAGGGGAAAUUCUUGGAUUUAUUGAAGACUGACUACUGCGAAAGCAUUUGCCAAGGAUGUUUUCAUUAAUCAAGAACGAAAGUUAGGGGAUCGAAGACGAUCAGAUACCGUCGUAGUCUUAACCAUAAACUAUGCCGACUAGGGAUCGGAUGAUGUUAAUUUUUUAAUGACUCA
Molecule: ribosomal RNA, 508 nt
Filed under: uncultured Glomus
Lineage: Eukaryota; Fungi; Glomeromycota; Glomeromycetes; Glomerales; Glomeraceae
Description: SSU rRNA
Rfam family: Eukaryotic small subunit ribosomal RNA
Source: RNAcentral